Molecule: transfer RNA, 73 nt
Filed under: Anaerorhabdus furcosa
Lineage: Bacteria; Bacillati; Bacillota; Erysipelotrichia; Erysipelotrichales; Erysipelotrichaceae
Also listed under: 1 other name
Rfam family: tRNA
About the family: Transfer RNA (tRNA) molecules are approximately 80 nucleotides in length. Their secondary structure includes four short double-helical elements and three loops (D, anti-codon, and T loops).
Source: Rfam by way of RNAcentral
GCCGACUUAGCUCAAUUGGCAGAGCAAUUGAUUUGUAAUCAAUAGGUUGUAGGUUCGAUUCCUAUAGUCGGCA